Molecule: long non-coding RNA, 803 nt
Filed under: Bos taurus (domestic cattle)
Lineage: Eukaryota; Metazoa; Chordata; Mammalia; Artiodactyla; Bovidae
Description: long non-coding RNA NONBTAT012665
Source: RNAcentral
UUUUCGUGUCUGUGACAUUUGCAAAAGCAGUCAUAGAUUUGGCCACACAAGAACCUUAAUUUUUAAAAAGUAAAUAUUCUACACUCAAAAUUGUCUGGUAAUGAUUUGGUAAAAUUAGACAUAAAUAAUUGUAUAAAAAUUUCCCAGAGAUUGAGAUGCACAGUCUCUGGACGGUCUGUGAACAAACAGAAACUCAAAGUAAAAUCGCAGUAUCUGGAACCCUGCAUUAGCAGAGACCUCUCGUUUUUGGAAGACUCACACUCACUGCGGUAGUUUAAAUGUCUUCAGUAUUAAACACAGAAACAAAGUUCUUUGAUAACCAUCUUGAAAAUUAAAAAUUUGAGAAGGAAUCUAGGGAAGAAAGAAUGUGAUAAAGGAACAGUAGUAAAGUUGAGAAUGAAAAAAAAACCACUGCCUUUAAAAAAAUGCUAAUAAAACAGAUAACUCAGUUCAGAUGACUAUAAAAAAAGCAAAGCAAAAAAUAUUCAAGAUUUCAGGAUGAGAGGAGUUGUGAGUAGAGACAGAGGGUGAAAAAUGAGAAGAUUGCUGCCUGCAGCGUCACAGAGGCAGCCCUAGACCCGGGCAGCCGCUUAGCGGUAUACACACGUCACAGUUGGCUUCAGGGUCGAACACUGCAGUAAGCCAGUUUUCAGUUACAAAAGGCUGAAAAGAUAAUUGGAAACUUAGUAUACAAGAAGGGUGUAUAGAUGUCACCCGAACAGUAAAUCUUAUCUUUAAAGAACCAAUUAAUUCCAGUCUUUUUCAGGCAUCAGAGAUUGAAAGCUCCUUGUUCAGUUUAAAUC